GACGAACGCUGGCGGCGUGCUUAACACAUGCAAGUCGAACGGAAAGGCCCUGCUUUUGUGGGGUGCUCGAGUGGCGAACGGGUGAGUAACACGUGAGUAACCUGCCCUUGACUUUGGGAUAACUUCAGGAAACUGGGGCUAAUACCGGAUAGGAGCUCCUGCUGCAUGGUGGGGGUUGGAAAGUUUCGGCGGUUGGGGAUGGACUCGCGGCUUAUCAGCUUGUUGGUGGGGUAGUGGCUUACCAAGGCUUUGACGGGUAGCCGGCCUGAGAGGGUGACCGGCCACAUUGGGACUGAGAUACGGGCCAGAAUCCUACGGGAUGCAGCAGUGGGGAAUAUUGCACAAUGGGCGGAAGCCUGAUGCAGCAACGCCGCGUGCGGGAUGACGGCCUUCGGGUUGUAAACCGCUUUCGCCUGUGACGAAGCGUGAGUGACGGUAAUGGGUAAAGAAGCACCGGCUAACUACGUG
This 468-nucleotide ribosomal RNA is filed under the name uncultured bacterium. RNAcentral describes it as "partial 16S ribosomal RNA". It matches the Rfam family "Bacterial small subunit ribosomal RNA", at positions 28 to 507 of the family's 1533-position model. The record is from RNAcentral.